Molecule: long non-coding RNA, 1702 nt
Organism: Bombyx mori (domestic silkworm)
Lineage: Eukaryota; Metazoa; Arthropoda; Insecta; Lepidoptera; Bombycidae
Exons: 2
Source: RefSeq, a predicted model, not a curated record
AACAUAAUACAGCCACAUUAGAUACUUCAGAAUCCUUGAUCUAGUUGUGUUUACCCAAAAUAAUCGUCAAUAUUUCUACUUCCUUCAAUUCUACGACGGUAUUUCACAAAGGAUCUUUGCGCAAACCCAAUACUGCGCAACAAACGGCAAAUGAUUAUCAGUAUUCAUUAACAGAGACGUGGACGUCCUAAUCGCACUUCACUGUGCAACACAGAGUGGUUUGAACAAAUUCAGGUUGUGGGAGUCGAACUACACUGCAUCUAAUCCCUGCCCAAAUACAAAUAAUGGAAAAGCAGUGAAAAUUUUAGCAGUAGGCAGCGGCUUGGCUCUGCCCCUAGCAUUGCUGAGGUCCAUGGGCGACGGUAACCACUCACCAUCAGGUGGGCCGUAUGCCCACAGGGGCAAUAAAAAAAAAAAGAACAUAAGGUAGGCUAAUUUCACCAACACAUCUAAAUUUAUCAGUAGUUCAUAUCGGGGUGAAAGGCUAUUUGAUUUGAGCGACAUUUUUGCAGCUUUAUAGCAGAGCCAUUUAAAGUUUAAAAUUUGAAAAAAAAAACAUAAUAAAAAAAAAACUUCUUUAGCUUAAUUAAAGUUCAAUUAAAAAAUUAUACUGACAUCAAAUAAAAUGCACCUUUAAUUACAAAGAUAAAUAUCGAAUAUUAUCUCUUAAACCAAAUAAUAACCUUUCACCCCUCGUUAUUAUGAUAUUUUUGACAAUCCCUUGUACAACAAUUCACAGAAAACUUUAAUAAUAUUUAAUCUGUACUAGCAUAGUAGCAACCUUUUGUCUUUAAAACUUAGUACUCUGCUGAAUUAUGAAAGGAAGGAAACUGUAGAACUCCGUAAUCAAAGCUUCAAAGAAAGAAAAAUGUUGUGAUAUUGUCAACUUCAUUUAUGUUAGAUUUGCAUUAUUCUGACAUUAAUAAUAAAAGUUGCUAUUAUGUGCAGAUCAAUCCCUAUAUUCUAUACUACAUACCACCUGAUUAAUAAGUUAAGGUGAGAUUUAAACUUGUUAUCACUAAACUAAAAAUGACUAAUAAGGAUUUGUGACUCUAUAAUCAUCGAACCAUUUAACUACUUAUUGAGUUUGAAAACACCAAACAAUAAAUUUUUCCAAAUUAUUCUAGCCUUAUAGGUUGGUAAACAAAAUAUAGUUACAAAAUGGGACAGCAGUGACACAAUAAAGUGUGAGAAUAAAAACCUAUAUUUAUUUAUUAUUUAAACUAUAUUUUCUUAAUUUAUGGUAUGUACUUACGAAUAUUUCACUUGUUAUUGAACUUCCAGUCUUGUCUGCACAUAGGACACUGCUGUUGAGGCUGAGAGUGUAGCCACUUUACGAUACAGUGAAUGUGGAAACAGUGAGAGCAAGCACCCCAAACUAGAGGGCAGUCGUCCCCAGGUAGUUUGCAGUCUGGACAGCAGCUAUCAAAUGGCAUACGACAAAUCCCACAAUUGUCGUCGUUUGCUACCCACCUCCAAGUUGCAACCCCUGUCCAACCUAAAAUGAAUUAUCUCGUUACUGUGAAUAUUUCAAUUUCAAUCGGUUCUUCCUUGUAUGAGGAAUUUUUAAGAAUUGUGCUCUAUGACAAUAAGGCACUUAGCAAAAAUUACUACUUAAUUUACUUUAAUGUCAGUGUGUUUUAAGUUGCAAAGAAUAAAGUGUAAAUUAACCAGGGAAAAUAAACAUUAUGAAAAAAAGAGA